This 400-nucleotide unclassified non-coding RNA is filed under the name soil metagenome. RNAcentral's name for it is "partial contains 5.8S ribosomal RNA, internal transcribed spacer 2, and large subunit ribosomal RNA". The stretch from base 1 to 122 matches the Rfam family "5.8S ribosomal RNA", at positions 35 to 154 of the family's 154-position model. The record is from RNAcentral.
GAUGAAGAACGCAGCGAAAUGCGAUACUUGGUGUGAAUUGCAGAAUCCCGUGAACCAUCGAGUCUUUGAACGCAAGUUGCGCCUCAAGCCAUUAGGUUGAGGGCACGUCUGCCUGGGCGUCACAUAUCGUUGCCUGAUGCCAGUUUCCUCGUGAUGGGUGACUGUGCAGGGCGAAUGAUGGCUUCCCGUGAGCAUUGUUGCCUCAUGGUUGGUUGAAAAUUGAGUCCUUGGUAGGGAGCGCCGUGAUAGAUGGUGGUUGAGUCACGAACGAGACCCAAUCAUGUGAGACCCCUACCGAAUUUGGCCUUCAUGACCCACAUGCGUCUUUGGAACGCUCAUGACGAGACCUCAGGUCAGGCGGGGCUACCCGCUGAGUUUAAGCAUAUCAAUAAGCGGAGGA